GGGGUUGUGGCUUAGCGGUAGAGUGCUCGCCUCACAAGUAUGAGACCCUAGGUUCGAUCCUUGGCACCCCA
This 71-nucleotide transfer RNA is filed under the name Ictidomys tridecemlineatus (thirteen-lined ground squirrel). Its description in RNAcentral is "Spermophilus tridecemlineatus (thirteen-lined ground squirrel) tRNA". It matches the Rfam family "tRNA". From Rfam's summary of the family: Transfer RNA (tRNA) molecules are approximately 80 nucleotides in length. Their secondary structure includes four short double-helical elements and three loops (D, anti-codon, and T loops). Further hydrogen bonds mediate the characteristic L-shaped molecular structure. tRNAs have two regions of fundamental functional importance: the anti-codon, which is responsible for specific mRNA codon recognition, and the 3' end, to which the tRNAs corresponding amino acid is attached (by aminoacyl-tRNA synthetases). tRNAs cope with the degeneracy of the genetic code in two manners: having more than one tRNA (with a specific anti-codon) for a particular amino acid; and 'wobble' base-pairing, i.e. permitting non-standard base-pairing at the 3rd anti-codon position. Lineage: Eukaryota; Metazoa; Chordata; Mammalia; Rodentia; Sciuridae. The record is from Rfam by way of RNAcentral.